CACUGCUCCUUCAGCUGUAGCUCAAAGCCUGAACUCAUCAGAUCUCAGAGUCUAAGCAGGGCUGGGCCUGGUUAGUACUUGGAUGGAAGACCACGCGGAAUAUCAGGUGCCUCAGUGG
Molecule: ribosomal RNA, 118 nt
Filed under: Periophthalmus magnuspinnatus
Lineage: Eukaryota; Metazoa; Chordata; Actinopteri; Gobiiformes; Gobiidae
Source: RNAcentral